This 345-nucleotide unclassified non-coding RNA is filed under the name soil metagenome. RNAcentral's name for it is "partial contains 5.8S ribosomal RNA, internal transcribed spacer 2, and large subunit ribosomal RNA". The stretch from base 1 to 120 matches the Rfam family "5.8S ribosomal RNA", at positions 35 to 154 of the family's 154-position model. The record is from RNAcentral.
GAUGAAGAACGUAGCGAAAUGCGAUAAGUAGUGUGAAUUGCAGAAUUCAGUGAAUCAUCGAGUCUUUGAACGCACAUUGCGCCCCCUGGUAUUCCGGGGGGCAUGCCUGUCCGAGCGUCAUUGCUGCCCUCAGGCACGGCUUGUGUGUUGGGCCUCCGUCCUCCUCCCGGGGGACGGGCCCGAAAGGCAGCGGCGGCACCGCGUCCGGUCCUCGAGCGUAUGGGGCUUCGUCACCCGCUCUUGUAGGCCCGGCCGGCGCUUGCCGACACAUCAAUCUUUUUUCCAGGUUGACCUCGGAUCAGGUAGGGAUACCCGCUGAACUUAAGCAUAUCAAUAAGCGGAGGA